GGAGGGCAAGUCUGGUGCCAGCAGCCGCGGUAAUUCCAGCUCCAAUAGCGUAUAUUAAAGUUGUUGCAGUUAAAAAGCUCGUAGUUGAAUUUCGGGAUCAAUUUGUUGGUCGUGCCUCGGUACGUACUGGCAUUAUUGGUUUCUACCUUCUGAAGAACCUUGAUGUCAUUAAUUUGGUGUCUUGGGGAAUCAGGACUGUUACUUUGAAAAAAUUAGAGUGUUUAAAGCAGGC
This 232-nucleotide ribosomal RNA is filed under the name uncultured Glomus. RNAcentral describes it as "partial 18S ribosomal RNA". It matches the Rfam family "Eukaryotic small subunit ribosomal RNA", at positions 550 to 785 of the family's 1831-position model. Lineage: Eukaryota; Fungi; Glomeromycota; Glomeromycetes; Glomerales; Glomeraceae. The record is from RNAcentral.